RNAcentral lists this non-coding RNA (30 nucleotides) under Rattus norvegicus (Norway rat). Lineage: Eukaryota; Metazoa; Chordata; Mammalia; Rodentia; Muridae. The record is from RNAcentral.
UAGAAAGGGCCAAUGAGACUUGUAAUUGUU